AAGUUGAUUAGAAAUAUUAUAUUAAAAAAAUUAAAAUUAAAUGAAAUUAAAAGUCAAAAGUAAAAAACAAUUGUUUCUAUAUAUUUCUUUUAUAAGAAAAAUAAAAUAUGGAUGGCUGAAGAAUGGAAUUGCGCUAAACUACGAGAUUCUGAAACUUCCUGGUUAAGUUGGUGGUAUCCAUUGGACACAUUUUGAAACACCCACUAAAUUUAAAUUCAAAACACUGGUUUUAAAUUUGUAUAUCUUAAGAUAACAAUUUGAUAAUGUAAAACUCCUAGCCAAAUACGUUACAAAUCUGGAAGCAGGAAGAAAAUGUAGAUCAUAUGUUUUUCCUUUUAUACACUUGAAUUAGAUAUUCAAUAAUAUUUUAAAUAAAACUUGUCUUAAUAGACUACACAAAUGGUUGUAAAUGCAGUAACGAAUUCUUUAACUGGGUACGAUGUUUGUUCAAGAUUCAUAGCUUAGUGUAGAGUUAUUAUAAAUUACAGUGGCCAACAAAAUUUAUAAAAAGUCGAACCCCAGAGACCAAAGUACACUUUUCUAAACUCAAAUUCCUCAUCACAUUAGGAUUGGAGACGCUAUAACAUGGCAAUCACAUCUUUAUAUAUAUUCUUGUGUCGUCUGAAAGUCCAAUCUUCCAAACAUUUCAGCGGAAAAUUCAAAAAGUAUUAUAUAUAUUUCGAUGAAAAAAAGAUAAAUCUGAGGUUAAACCUUUAUUUUAAAGUCGACAGAUCGAACACUAAGACAACAUAACAAAUUUUAUAAAUAAAGAUGUCUUCGCGCUGUUAUAACGGCUCAAAUAUGGCCAAAACGGGAUCUUUUGAUCUUAAAAACACGAUAUCUCGAAGUCAGCUUUGGAUUCAGCGCAGCUCAAUCCUUUAGAAAAAAAUAUGUUGGCCUUUGAGUUAAAAUUUGUUAGCCUGUGUUAUCUAAAACAAAGUAAUUUGUAAAACCAUUUAUUUAAAAUUUAUAAUAAAAUUAA
Molecule: long non-coding RNA, 982 nt
Filed under: Lucilia cuprina (Australian sheep blowfly)
Lineage: Eukaryota; Metazoa; Arthropoda; Insecta; Diptera; Calliphoridae
Description: uncharacterized LOC124420326, transcript variant X1
Source: RNAcentral